This 1129-nucleotide ribosomal RNA is filed under the name Bacillus sp. (in: firmicutes). Its description in RNAcentral is "bacterial SSU rRNA". It matches the Rfam family "Bacterial small subunit ribosomal RNA", at positions 82 to 1195 of the family's 1533-position model. The record is from RNAcentral. Lineage: Bacteria; Bacillati; Bacillota; Bacilli; Caryophanales; Bacillaceae.
UCUUCGGAGGUCAGCGGCGGACGGGUGAGUAACACGUGGGCAACCUGCCUGUAAGACUGGGAUAACUCCGGGAAACCGGAGCUAAUACCGGAUAGUAUCUUGAACCGCAUGGUUCAAGUUGGAAAGACGGUUUCGGCUGUCACUUACAGAUGGGCCCGCGGCGCAUUAGCUAGUUGGUGAGGUAAUGGCUCACCAAGGCAACGAUGCGUAGCCGACCUGAGAGGGUGAUCGGCCACACUGGGACUGAGACACGGCCCAGACUCCUACGGGAGGCAGCAGUAGGGAAUCUUCCGCAAUGGACGAAAGUCUGACGGAGCAACGCCGCGUGAGUGAUGAAGGUUUUCGGAUCGUAAAACUCUGUUGUUAGGGAAGAACAAGUGCGAGAGUAACUGCUCGCACCUUGACGGUACCUAACCAGAAAGCCACGGCUAACUACGUGCCAGCAGCCGCGGUAAUACGUAGGUGGCAAGCGUUGUCCGGAAUUAUUGGGCGUAAAGCGCGCGCAGGCGGUUUCUUAAGUCUGAUGUGAAAGCCCCCGGCUCAACCGGGGAGGGUCAUUGGAAACUGGGAAACUUGAGUGCAGAAGAGGAGAGUGGAAUUCCACGUGUAGCGGUGAAAUGCGUAGAGAUGUGGAGGAACACCAGUGGCGAAGGCGACUCUCUGGUCUGUAACUGACGCUGAGGCGCGAAAGCGUGGGGAGCGAACAGGAUUAGAUACCCUGGUAGUCCACGCCGUAAACGAUGAGUGCUAAGUGUUAGAGGGUUUCCGCCCUUUAGUGCUGCAGCUAACGCAUUAAGCACUCCGCCUGGGGAGUACGGUCGCAAGACUGAAACUCAAAGGAAUUGACGGGGGCCCGCACAAGCGGUGGAGCAUGUGGUUUAAUUCGAAGCAACGCGAAGAACCUUACCAGGUCUUGACAUCCUUUGCCACUUCUAGAGAUAGAAGGUUCCCCUUCGGGGGACAAAGUGACAGGUGGUGCAUGGUUGUCGUCAGCUCGUGUCGUGAGAUGUUGGGUUAAGUCCCGCAACGAGCGCAACCUUUGAUCUUAGUUGCCAGCAUUCAGUUGGGCACUCUAAGGUGACUGCCGGUGACAAACCGGAGGAAGGUGGGGGAUGACGUCAAAUCAUCA